CAGCCGCCGCGGUAAUACGGAGAGCGCGAGCGUUACCCGGAUUUACUGGGCGUAAAGGGCGUGUAGGGGGCCUGGGGCGUCCCAUGUGAAAGGCCACGGCUCAACCGUGGAGGAGCGUGGGAUACGCUCAGGCUAGAGGGUGGGAGAGGGUGGUGGAAUUCCCGGAGUAGCGGUGAAAUGCGCAGAUACCGGGAGGAACGCCGAUGGCGAAGGCAGCCACCUGGUCCACUUCUGACGCUGAGGCGCGAAAGCGUGGGGAGCAAACCGGAUUAGAUACCCCGGUAGUCCCUGUCUCUUAUAC
RNAcentral lists this ribosomal RNA (301 nucleotides) under uncultured bacterium. RNAcentral's name for it is "partial 16S ribosomal RNA". It matches the Rfam family "Bacterial small subunit ribosomal RNA", at positions 509 to 807 of the family's 1533-position model. The record is from RNAcentral.